AACGAACGCUGGCGGCAGGCCUAACACAUGCAAGUCGAGCGCGCCCUUCGGGGUGAGCGGCGGACGGGUGAGUAACGCGGGGGAACGUGCCCUUCUCUGCGGAAUAGCCUCGGGAAACUGAGAGUAAUACCGCAUACGCCCUUUGGGGGAAAGAUUUAUCGGAGAAGGAUCGGCCCGCGUUGGAUUAGGUAGUUGGUGGGGUAAUGGCCCACCAAGCCGACGAUCCAUAGCUGGUUUGAGAGGAUGAUCAGCCACACUGGGACUGAGACACGGCCCAGACUCCUACGGGAGGCAGCAGUGGGGAAUCUUAGACAAUGGGGGCAACCCUGAUCUAGCCAUGCCGCGUGAGUGAUGAAGGCCUUAGGGUUGUAAAGCUCUUUCAGCUGGGAAGAUAAUGACGGUACCAGCAGAAGAAGCCCCGGCUAACUCCGUG
Molecule: ribosomal RNA, 433 nt
Filed under: uncultured bacterium
Lineage: Bacteria
Description: partial 16S ribosomal RNA
Rfam family: Bacterial small subunit ribosomal RNA
Source: RNAcentral